AUUGAACGCUGGCGGCAUGCCUUACACAUGCAAGUCGAACGGCAGCGGGCCUUCGGGUGCCGGCGAGUGGCGAACGGGUGAGUAAUGCAUCGGAACGUGCCAUUGAGUGGGGGAUAACGUAGCGAAAGUUGCGCUAAUACCGCAUAUUCUGUGAGCAGGAAAGCAGGGGGACCGCAAGGCCUUGCGCUCUUUGAGCGGCCGAUGUCAGAUUAGCUAGUUGGUGAGGUAAAGGCUUACCAAGGCGACGAUCUGUAGCGGGUCUGAGAGGAUGAUCCGCCACACUGGAACUGAGACACGGUCCAGACUCUACGGGAGGCAGCAGUGGGGAAUUUUGGACAAUGGGGGCAACCCUGAUCCAGCCAAUGCCGCGUGAG
RNAcentral lists this ribosomal RNA (374 nucleotides) under uncultured bacterium. RNAcentral's name for it is "bacterial SSU rRNA". It matches the Rfam family "Bacterial small subunit ribosomal RNA", at positions 30 to 405 of the family's 1533-position model. The record is from RNAcentral.